Molecule: long non-coding RNA, 3822 nt
Filed under: Homo sapiens (human)
Lineage: Eukaryota; Metazoa; Chordata; Mammalia; Primates; Hominidae
Description: HSALNT0365505
Source: RNAcentral
UCUCGAUGGACGGCAGCUGCAGGAACUCCUUGCCGGGGGCCAAGACGGCGGGCAGGUCCCGGGCCAGCCCGGCCUCCAGGCUCUGCUCCUAGUCCAGUUUCCAUCUGGGAGCCAAUGCCCAGCUUCCGUGCCAGGACAAAAGUCACAUUUCACAAGUGUCCCGAAGCUGAGGAAAAUUCACAUCCCUAAAGAUCACAAGAAUUCACUGCAAGUAAAUACAUCCCUGCAGUUCAGCAAGACAUCAAGGAUGACAGCUGGCUAUGGAUCUACCAAGCUCUGCAAUGACACUUGUCAAGUAUGGAAAAGCUCAAGGCAUCCUGACAUUACACAACUUUUGAGAGGCUGGGAAACCAAGGGAAAUAUUUCUUCCUCAGGGAGAGAGAUACUGCGGCUGAAGAGCCAAGGCCAGGCCCUCCCAUAAAUGACUCCCUGGAAUGUCAGCCCCCGUUUCUGAAAUCCAGCCACUGGCCCUCUCAGGAGUGAUUUGGUUUCACUCUACUUUAACUCCUGGACAUAGCACAGAAAGCAGAAACCCCUUGCCAUCAGGUGUCAGGCCUGCCAAGGUCACCUCUUCCGGCUCCAGGGAUGCUGAGGAGAUUGCACUGUAACUCCAAACUUCAGGAUCGGGAGCUAAGCCAAGUUCCACAGAGUUUGUUCACUGCCUUGUACUUCCUCCAAGGACGAGUGUUUUGCAAGGGAUCUGAUAACUUCCCAGUUCAAGGAACCUGAGUUUUGGGCGGGCUCUUGACAUAGAAGAUGAGGGUCUCAGGGGCUUAUGGGAAGAAAGGAAGCCAGGACACCACCAUUCGCUUGGAGGCCAAAAACACAAAAGGAUGGUCCACAAGACAGGGGCCAGAAGAUUCUAUGGGCAGCUUGGGAAGAGGGAGAAGAAACAAGGGAGGAAGCUUUAAGUUUGUUCUGGGCACUCUGAAUUUAAGUGUAUACCUCUUACAAGGAAGAAAAGCCACCAGCACCCUCUUCCCACACACUUCAGCCACUUUUCCCACUCACAGUAGAUUCUGGAACUGAAAUCCUGUGAGAUUUAAUUCAAGCCUUGGGCACAGCAGUGGCUAAGAGUGAUCAUUUACAUUUCACCCGGCCUGAGGGAAAACCUCCAAGCAGGAAUCUAAAAUGUUUCACUUGAUUGGGAAGCAGAUACCCUGAGCUCUCUUAGCCUGAACGCUGUCCUUACUCACUUGCACCUGCAGUCCCUUCUUUUUUUCAAGCCAUAACCCUUUUGACCGUUAAAACCCUGUUCAAAACACAUCCUUCAGCCCUUUCCAGCUGUUUCUGUUGCCCAUGGCUCUGGCAAGUAAGAUAAUAAAUGAGGCACUGCUUUGAAAUAUGAAAUGCCCUACAGCUGUGAGCCAACAUUACUGUUAAGACUAUAAGCUCCUUGAGAAAAGAAUCAAGUUUCUCCUUCCUUUAAUUCUCUCCAGUAUCCUGUGCUUGUUAUGUGUAUGGUGACCUUUACACUUUUGGAAAGAGCUUUCAUACAUCACACUGUGUCUUCCCAGCGGCCUUUACAAUUGAUGAAAGUGGGACAGAGAGAUUCAGUAGUUUAUCCAAGGUCACAGAUAAAUGAUGAUGGCUAAUCAAUGACAAGGCCAGAAUUGGAACUCAUGCCUUCUGAAGCCAGUUUAGAGGCCUCCAAAAGUGUAGAGAAACAAUUUCUCAAAGUAGCUGGUGCCAACAUCAGAACCAAAGAGUUUUCAUGCCCUGCGUCAGAAUCUCAGCGAUUGCACUUGCUCCCCAAGUCUCCCCACUCCCAUAUUUCUUCUCUCCAAUAUUUGGCUCUCAGCGACCGCACAGUUCUCUGUGAAACAGACCUCACCUUUGCCCCCAUUCCCCGCUUCCCCAGACAGGUGGUAACCAGAACAACCCAGCCUCCCCUUUCCCCACCUGCAGCCAGGCCUCUGACUUUAAAUGAAAGGAGGUCAUAUUACCAAGCAACUGUUGUUUAUUCUCAGCUGCACAAGCUCCCUUUUCCUACAGACACAAGACACCCAACACCUGUCUAUUACUUCUGGAGACUCAUAAACUACUAUUAUUAUUCAAUUUCCAGGGGAAAACUUUAGUGAAACAUAGUAGCUUCCAGACUAGAUUUCUCCUGGGUACACAUCCAAGUAAAUGUGAACUGGAAGGCGCUGGCACCCCGGACACCUUAUUGCACCUGCUCCAGGAUGCCAAGGCAGGGAACUCCCAAAGACACAGGAAUGUCUCCCCACAACACUGUUGUUGCAAGACAGACAAUCCCCACUCUCAACACUGGGACACAGAGUCUCUCCCCUACACAACAUUCGAACGGCCAAUCCCAACGGUUGGCCCAUUAUGAGGGAAAGAAGCAGGCAGUGAGCAUAGAAGAAGUGGAAUUUGAGGCUGGCAGGGAAGCUGGAAAUACGGACAGAAACGUGGAUGAUGCUGAGAGCAAUGUUGACUGUCUUCAAACACACAAUGAAGGAUGGCCAGAUUUCACUCUGCAGCUCUCAUUUUGCUGCUGAGCAAGAGGAAAUGCAUUUCUGUAGAGUGCAGCAUGGGGGAUUUGGGAUAGAUGAUAAACAUUUACCGAGUGUAAGGCUGGUUAAGGACUGGCCUGAAUGACUAAGACUGGGUAGAGAAUGGCUUUCUCUGUAGGUCUUUUAAAGGUAACUGGAGCCUACUUAGAGGCAGUGGCAGGAAAGAGAUGAUCUCUUAAAGGCCCAGCCCACCCUACUACUGUGGGUCUCUAAGACCCAGAUUGUUUCUUUUUAAAGUAGAAGCAAUUCACUUACACCUAAAACAAAGUCUGUUUGAGCUGACCUGUUACUGGCUCAAAGGCAUUUUGAUCACCGGAUGCUAAACACCUCCCUGAGACCCACAAAUAGCUUUAAUAUCUUGCACUGGUGAACUAGAAAUACAGGGAUCAAUUACCAGGAUGGUGCUGAAGCAAGGAAGUGAGGGUUCGGGGAUGAAGACAGGAGAAAGAAUUGGAGGGAAUAACUUAAACUCCUCCCCAUGGUAUCUCCUUUUGUUUCUUUCACGAGUCCUCCCUUCAUUUCCCCAGGGAGGGGCUCACUACUUUAAGAAGGGUCAGAGGAUGCUGCACUGAAUUGGUGUGGUUAGAGAAGCAGUGUGGAGGAGGAGGCUGGUGCUGGUUAAAUACAACCUAAAUCAAACCACAGUUGACCAACCACCACAUCCAGCUUCUCCUUCCAAGGAAAAAGGGAGAAAAUGCUUCAGGACUUUGAUGGAGACUCAGUUUCCGAGAAUAGAGCCCUGGGCAGUGCUCUCAACCUUGGGGAGUACACAGGGUCAGCUCUUUGUUUCCAACAGCCCUCACAGGGGCCAGGGUGAGCAGUGACGUCACCUCAGGAGAAGGACUGUCACCAGAUAAGCCUCCUUGGUUUAAUCGCUCAUCAAAAGGCUUAGGCGUCAAAGAAGAAUGUUUUGCACAAUAUUUGGCUGCCCUUGUACUUGACACCAAGGAUACCAAGGCACAGAAGGACAUCAUCUCUUGUCCUCUAAAUCUUGCAAGGACUUAUGUGCAAACCAGGGCUGCAAAAGACUUUCUGAGGUCGCCCCACCUGUCCUUGGCUGCCCAUCCCAAGGAAAGCAGGUGGCAUGUGCUGGAAUUUCUGCUGUUGCUUUCCUCAGAAGCAUUGCAAAAUAUCAUCAGCUUAUACUAACUACCGACUAGUGAUUGAGUGUGCAGACCCAAAAUCAAGCCACCUGAGUUUUGGACCUGUUUCCAUCACUUGCUAGCAGUUUUAUUACGGUUAAGUUAUUUAACUUCUCUGCAACUCAGUUUCUCAUCUGAAAAAUUAAGUAAAUAAAUAGCAUCUC